CAAUAGCGUAUAUUAAAGUUGUUGCAGUUAAAAAGCUCGUAGUUGGAUUUCGGGGCAGCCUGGCUGGUCCGCCGCAAGGCGAGUACUGGUCAGCCGCCCUUCCUCUCGAAGGCCCCGACUGCUCUUUAUUGCAGUGGUCGGGUAGUUCGGGACGUUUACUUUGAAAAAAUUAGAGUGUUCAAGGCAGGCCUACGCCUGAAUACAUUAGCAUGGAAUAAUGGAAGAGGACCUCGGUCCUAUUUUGUUGGUUUCCAGGACCGAAGUAAUGAUUAAGAGGGACAGUUGGGGGCAUUCGUAUUUAAUUGUCAGAGGUGAAAUUCUCGGAUUUAUGAAAGACGAACAACUGCGAAAGCAUUUGCCAAGGAUGUUUUCAUUAA
RNAcentral lists this ribosomal RNA (377 nucleotides) under uncultured eukaryote. RNAcentral's name for it is "partial 18S ribosomal RNA". It matches the Rfam family "Eukaryotic small subunit ribosomal RNA", at positions 592 to 976 of the family's 1831-position model. The record is from RNAcentral.